GACGAACGCUGGCGGCGUGCUUAACACAUGCAAGUCGAACGGAAAGGCCCUGACUUUGUGGGGUGCUCGAGUGGCGAACGGGAGAGUAACACGAGAGUAACCUGCCCUUGACUUUGGGAUAACUUCAGGAAACUGGGGCUAAUACCGGAUAGGAGCUCCUGCUGCAUGGUGGGGGUUGGAAAGUUUCGGCGGUUGGUGAUGGACUCGCGGCUUAUCAGCUUGUUGGUGGGGUAGUGGCUUACCAAGGUUUUGACGGGUAGCCGGCCUGAGUGGGUGACCGGCCACAUUGGGACUGAGAUACGGCCCAGACUCCUACGGGAGGCAGAAGUGGGGAAUAUUGCACAAUGGGCGGAGGCGUGAUGCAGCAACGCCGCUUGCGGGAGGACGGCCCUCGGGUUGGAAACCGCUUUCGCCUGUGACGAAGCGUGAGGGAGGGUAAUGGGUAAAGAAGCACCGGCUAACUACGUG
RNAcentral lists this ribosomal RNA (468 nucleotides) under uncultured bacterium. RNAcentral describes it as "partial 16S ribosomal RNA". It matches the Rfam family "Bacterial small subunit ribosomal RNA", at positions 28 to 507 of the family's 1533-position model. The record is from RNAcentral.